This 452-nucleotide ribosomal RNA is filed under the name Hesperonemastoma modestum. RNAcentral's name for it is "partial 16S ribosomal RNA". It matches the Rfam family "Bacterial large subunit ribosomal RNA", at positions 1830 to 2586 of the family's 2925-position model. The record is from RNAcentral. Lineage: Eukaryota; Metazoa; Arthropoda; Arachnida; Opiliones; Ceratolasmatidae.
UUCUUUAUGAUAAAAUAUAAAGUAAGUUCUGCUCAAUGAAAUUUUAAAUGGCCGCAGUAAUUUGACUGUGCUAAGGUAGCAUAAUCAUUUGCUCUAUAAUUGAGGGCUAGAAUGAAUGAAUAAAUGGGAAGAUGUUGUCUUUUUAAUUUAUAAUUAAAUUUUAAUUACUAGAAAAAUUUCUAGUAUGAAAUUAUGGGACGAUAAGACCCUAUUAAGCUUUAUUAAAUUAUUUAUGAGAUAAAUUAUUAAUUAUACUGGGGCGGUACUGAGAGACUUAAUCUCUUUGUUAAAUAAUAAUUUUAUUCCAUAAAGGUAUGAGUUAUAAAUAAGUUACUAUAGGGAUAACAGCAUAAUUUAUUUUUGAAGUCUAAUUUGAUAAUAAGCUUAUGACCUCGAUGUUGAAUUAAUAUUACUGUGAGGUGAAGUAGCUUUACCAGUGAGUCCGUUCGACU